GCAAGUCGAGCGCGCCCUUCGGGGUUAGUGGCGGACGGGUGAGUAACGCGUGAGGAUCUGCCCAAAGGACCGGGACAACAGUUAGAAAUGGCUGCUAAAACCGGAUGUGCCGAGAGGUGAAAUAUUUAUAGCCUUUGGAUGAGCUCGCGUCUGAUUAGCUAGUUGGUGGUGUAAAGGACUACCAAGGCGACGAUCAGUAGCUGUUCUGAGAGGAAGAUC
This 219-nucleotide ribosomal RNA is filed under the name uncultured bacterium. RNAcentral's name for it is "partial 16S ribosomal RNA". It matches the Rfam family "Bacterial small subunit ribosomal RNA", at positions 57 to 305 of the family's 1533-position model. The record is from RNAcentral.